CCCUUAGAUGUUCUGGGCUGCACGCGCGCUACACUGAUGCGCUCAACGAGUUUUAACCUUGCCUGGAAAGGUUGGGUAAUCUUUUUAAAACGCAUCGUGAUGGGGAUAGAUUAUUGCAAUUAUUAAUCUUCAACGAGGAAUUCCUAGUAAGCGCGAGUCAUCAGCUCGUGCUGAUUACGUCCCUGCCCUUUGUACACACCGCCCGUCGCUCCCACCGAUUGAGUGAUCCGGUGAAUAAUUCGGACUGCGGCAUUGACCGGUUCCCGAUCGUUGCUGCGGAAAGUUUAGUGAACCUUAUCACUUAGAGGAAGGAGAAGUCGUNACA
Molecule: ribosomal RNA, 325 nt
Filed under: uncultured eukaryote
Lineage: Eukaryota
Description: partial 18S ribosomal RNA
Rfam family: Eukaryotic small subunit ribosomal RNA
Source: RNAcentral